This 773-nucleotide ribosomal RNA is filed under the name uncultured Neocallimastigales. RNAcentral describes it as "partial large subunit ribosomal RNA". It matches the Rfam family "Eukaryotic large subunit ribosomal RNA", at positions 22 to 645 of the family's 3401-position model. The record is from RNAcentral. Lineage: Eukaryota; Fungi; Neocallimastigomycota; Neocallimastigomycetes; Neocallimastigales.
UACACGCUGUGACUAGCAUAUCAAUAAGCGGAGGAAAAGAAACUAACAAGGAUUCCCCUAGUAACGGCGAGUGAAGCGGGAAGAGCUCAAAUUUGAAACCUUAAAGGGUUUCCCUUUACGAAUUGUAGUUUAAAGAAGUGUUUUCUGUUGAGGUUUUGGUAAAAGUUCUUUGGAAUAGGACAUCAUAGAGGGUGAGAAUCCCGUAUUUGACCUUUACUUUCAACUCUGUGAUACACUUUCAAAGAGUCGGAUUGUUUGGGAAUGCAGUCCAAAAUGGGUGGUAAAUUUCAUCUAAAGCUAAAUAUUGGCGAGAGACCGAUAGCGAACAAGUACCGUGAGGGAAAGAUGAAAAGAACUUUGAAAAGAGAGUUAAACAGUACGUGAAAUUGUCAAAAGGGAAGCGUUUGACACCAGUGUUGUUUUUCUGAAAAUCAAUUAAAGAACUGUUUAUGCUAAGCUGUUUAGACUUUAUCAGCUAUCUGUUUAGUUUUGAGCUUUUCUUUAAUGCACUUUUCAGUUAACAAGUCAACAUCAAUUUCUUUUGCUGUAAAAAAGCUUGAGGAAGGUGGCUUGAGAUUCGUCUUAAGUGUUUAUAGCCUCUUGCCUAUGCAGUCGGAGAGAUUGAGGUCUGCAGCGUAGAUCCUUCGGGGCUAAAUGCAUUUGUGCUAAGUUAUAGCAUUUUAUAGACAACUUGUUGACUAUGAUUUGUCUUGUAGCUUACUCGCUUAUGUUAUUUUACCUACGCUUAGGAUGUUGAAGUCAUCGUAUCGCGC